RNAcentral lists this small nuclear RNA (23 nucleotides) under Arabidopsis thaliana (thale cress). Its description in RNAcentral is "snRNA_09859". The record is from RNAcentral. Lineage: Eukaryota; Viridiplantae; Streptophyta; Magnoliopsida; Brassicales; Brassicaceae.
AGGAACAGUUUUCUUGUACGAUU